CAAAAUUUAACAUAAUUAAUGUGUCUCACUUACAUUGAGAAAAUAGUUAUAUAUUAUAAUUAGUUUUGA
This 69-nucleotide transfer RNA is filed under the name Teuthowenia megalops. Its description in RNAcentral is "tRNA-Val". The record is from RNAcentral. Lineage: Eukaryota; Metazoa; Mollusca; Cephalopoda; Oegopsida; Cranchiidae.